Molecule: long non-coding RNA, 1609 nt
Filed under: Gossypium barbadense (sea-island cotton)
Lineage: Eukaryota; Viridiplantae; Streptophyta; Magnoliopsida; Malvales; Malvaceae
Description: long non-coding RNA (GBAR_LNC008537)
Source: RNAcentral
CUGAUCUUCUGCAACUUCAGGGAGAUAAGAUUUGUUGUCUUUGAUUUGCUCCACUACAAUUUCAGGGAAACAAGAUCUGCGAUCUUCAGCCUACUCCACUACAACUUCAGGGAAAUAAGACUGGUAACUUCAACCUGCCCCACUGCGACUUCAGGGGGAUAAGGCUUACAGCUAUGAUUUAUUCCACUGAAACUUCAGAGAUUCAAGGAGAAGAGAUUUGUAGCCUCGAUCUUCUCUACUAAAACUUCGAGGAAAUAAGAAUUCAGGUAGAAGGGAUUUGUAGCCUCGACCUCCUACACUGGAACUUCGGUGAUUUAGGGAGAAGAGAUUUGUAGCUUCGAUCUUCUCUACUGAAACUUCAAGGAUUUAGAAUUCAGGUAGAAGGGAUUUGUAGCCUCGACCUACUACACUGAAACUUCGGAGACUCAGGGAGAAGAGAUUUGUAGUUUCGAUCUUCUCUACUGAAACUUUAAGGAUUUAGAAUUCAAGUAAAAGGGAUUUGUAGCCUCGACCUAUUACACUGGAACUUCGACGAUUCAAAGAGAAGAGAUUUGUAGCUUCGAUCUUCUCUACUGAAACUUCAAGGAUUUAGAAUUCAGGUAGAAGGGAUUUGUAGCCUUGACCUACUACACUAAAACUUCAGAGAUUCAGGGAGAAGAGAUUUGUAGUUUCGAUCUUCUCUACUGAAACUUCAAGGAUUUAGAAUUCAAGUAGAAGGGAUUUGUAGCAUCGACCUACUACACUGAAACUUCGGAGAUUCAGGGAGAAGAGAUUUGUAGUUUCGAUCUUCUUUACUGAAACUUCAAGGAUUUAGAAUUCAAGUAGAAGGGAUUUGUAGCCUCGACCUACUACACUGAAACUUCGGCGAUUCAGGGAGAAGAAAUUUGUAGUUUCGAUCUUCACUACUGAAACUUCAAGGAUUUAGAAUUCAAGUAGAAGGGAUUUGUAGCCUCGACCUACUACACUGAAACUUCGGAAGUAUAAAUUAUGGAUUUCAACCCGCUCCACUACCGCUUAGGGAGGUAGGAUCUACAAUUUCUAACAUGUUACCCUACUGCUUAAGGGGUUAAGGCUCGUCGUUUUUGAUCUGUACCACUGCAACUUCAGGGAGAAAAUCUUCUUUGGUGAUUUCAAUUCGUCCCACUGCAUCUUCAGAAGCGUAAGAUUUUGAUUUCUUUGGUCCGUUACACCGCUCUUUGGAGAACAUAACCUGUUGAAUCUAUUUAUGGGCCUAUGCUUUUGCCAAAUAAAUAAGAUGCUAUGAUCGAAUAAAUGUUCCUAACUAUAUGUGAUGUUUAUGUCAAACAAUUAGAAUGCUACGAUCGAAAUGAAUCAAGUGCUCCUAACUAAAUGUGUCAUGAAUGAUAUAUGAAUGCAAAAAUGAAAAUGAUCAUUUUCAAAAAAAAAAAAAACUUAAAGUGUCAUUGCUCAUUGUUCACCAGAGCCGUACUACGCUGCCGUCUUAUUUAGCUGGUAUUCUUUAUAGAAAACUCAAAGAAACAAUCUCAAUCUGCUCGGCAAGCCUGCCCCACUUAAACUUUAUGGAGUUUUUUGCUUAUCUAGACCACUGCAACUCAGGGUAUAGGAUUUGUUUCAUCUUCAAUCAAUU